CCUACGGGGUGCAGCAGUGGGGAAUAUUGCACAAUGGGGGAAACCCUGAUGCAGCGAAGCCGCGUGAGUGAAGAAGUAUUUCGGUACGUAAAGCUCUAUCAGCAGGGAAGAAGAAAGACGGUACCUGACUAAGCAGCCCCGGCUAACGACGUGCCAGCAGCCGCGGUAAUACGUAGGGGGCAAGCGUUAUCCGGAUUUACUGGGUGUAAAGGGAGCGUAGACGGCUGUGCAAGUCUGAAGUGAAAGCCCAGGGCUCAACCCUGGGCCUGCUUUGGAAACUGUGGAGCUAGAGUGCUGGAGAGGUAAGUGGAAUUCCUAGUGUAGCGGUGAAAUGCGUAGAUAUUAGGAGGAACACCAGUGGCGAAGGCGGCUUACUGGACAGUAACUGACGUUGAGGCUCGAAAGCGUGGGGAGCAAACAGGAUUAGAUACCCGUGUAGUC
RNAcentral lists this ribosomal RNA (441 nucleotides) under uncultured bacterium. Its description in RNAcentral is "partial 16S ribosomal RNA". It matches the Rfam family "Bacterial small subunit ribosomal RNA", at positions 338 to 795 of the family's 1533-position model. The record is from RNAcentral.